This 626-nucleotide ribosomal RNA is filed under the name uncultured Bacteroidales bacterium. RNAcentral's name for it is "bacterial SSU rRNA". It matches the Rfam family "Bacterial small subunit ribosomal RNA", at positions 86 to 713 of the family's 1533-position model. Lineage: Bacteria; Pseudomonadati; Bacteroidota; Bacteroidia; Bacteroidales. The record is from RNAcentral.
UGCUGGCGACCGGCGCACGGGUGAGUAACACGUAUCCAACCUGCCUUUUACUCGGGGAUAGGCUUUCGAAAGAAAGAUUAAUACCCGAUGGUAUAAUAUUUCCGCAUGGGAUUAUUAUUAAAGAAUUUCGGUAAAAGAUGGGGAUGCGUCCAUUAGGCAGUUGGCGGGGUAACGGCCCACCAAACCUUCGAUGGAUAGGGUUCUGAGAGGAAGGUCCCCCACAUUGGAACUGAGACACGGUCCAAACUCCUACGGGAGGCAGCAGUGAGGAAUAUUGGUCAAUGGGCGGAAGCCUGAACCAGCCAAGUAGCGUGAAGGAUGACUGCCCUAUGGGUUGUAAACUUCUUUUAUAGGGGAAUAAAAUGAGCCACGUGUGGCUUUUUGUAUGUACCCUAUGAAUAAGGAUCGGCUAACUCCGUGCCAGCAGCCGCGGUAAUACGGAGGAUCCGAGCGUUAUCCGGAUUUAUUGGGUUUAAAGGGAGCGUAGGUGGACAUGUAAGCCAGUUGUGAAAGUUUGCGGCUCAACCGUAAAAUUGCAGUUGAUACUGUGUGUCUUGAGUACAGUAGAGGUGGGCGGAAUUCGUGGUGUAGCGGUGAAAUGCUUAGAUAUCACGAAGAACUCCGAU